This 468-nucleotide ribosomal RNA is filed under the name uncultured bacterium. Its description in RNAcentral is "partial 16S ribosomal RNA". It matches the Rfam family "Bacterial small subunit ribosomal RNA", at positions 28 to 507 of the family's 1533-position model. The record is from RNAcentral.
GACGAACGCUGGCGGCGUGCUUAACACAUGCAAGUCGAGCGGAAAGGCCCUGCUCUUGUGGGGUGCUCGAUUGGCGAACAGGUGAGUAACACGUGAGUAUACUCCCCUUGACUUUGGGGUAACUUCAGGGGAAAGGGGCUAAUACCGGAUAUGAUCUCCUGCAGCGUGGGGUGGGAUGGUGAGUUUCGGCGGUGGGGGAUGGACUGGCGGGUUAUCAGCUGGUUGGUGGGGUGGUGGCUGACCAAGGCUUUGACGGGUAGCCUGCCUGAGCGGGUGACAGGCCACCUUGGGACUGAGGUAGGGCAGCGACUCGUAAGGGAGGGAGAAGUGGGGAAGCUUGAAGGAUGGACGGAAGCUUGGUGCAGCAGCGCCGCGUGCGGGAUGACGCCCUUAGGGUUGUAAACCGAUUGCGCCAGUAACGAAGCGUGAGUGACGGUAACGGGUAAAGAAGCACCGGCUAAAUAAGUG